AGGUAGUAUUUAAACCUAUUUAUAAUGGCGGCAUUUUAUUUAAUUAGAGGAAUUUGUUCUAUAAUCGACAAUACUCGUUAAAUUUCACUUAAAUUAAAAAUUUAUAUACCACCAUCUAAAGAAUUUAUAAAAAAUUUAUUCUAAAUAAAAAUUAUAAAGUUAGGUCAAGGUGUAAUCAAUAUAUAAGUAUGAAAUGAAUUACUAUAAAAAUAAUUUAAGGAUUAAUUAAUAAUAAUUAAUUAUAAAAAUAGGAUUUAAUAGUAUUUAAAUAUUAUAAAUUUAUAUAGAAUUAAAUAAUAAAUGUGU
Molecule: ribosomal RNA, 306 nt
Filed under: Procambridgea sp. CG295
Lineage: Eukaryota; Metazoa; Arthropoda; Arachnida; Araneae; Stiphidiidae
Description: partial 12S ribosomal RNA
Source: RNAcentral